UGGAAUAUGUUCUAAGAAGGAAAAGUC
Molecule: non-coding RNA, 27 nt
Filed under: Mus musculus (house mouse)
Lineage: Eukaryota; Metazoa; Chordata; Mammalia; Rodentia; Muridae
Source: RNAcentral